UGAUACCAGGGUCAAAAGGUCUAAACCCACAUGAGCUUGCUCAUAGGUGGGUGAAAGACAUUGGGACCCGCCCCGAUAUGAGCAUAAAAGUGGGAUGAUAAUCCCAUGAUAUGCGAAUAUUUGGGAGAAUAUAUAUUACAUAUUUCA
RNAcentral lists this non-coding RNA (147 nucleotides) under unclassified sequences. RNAcentral's name for it is "Clostridiales-1 RNA". It matches the Rfam family "Clostridiales-1 RNA". RNAcentral also lists the same sequence under 1 other name. The record is from RNAcentral.